Lolium perenne is the source of this 893-nucleotide long non-coding RNA. RefSeq lists it as uncharacterized. The record is from RefSeq and is a predicted model, not a curated record. Lineage: Eukaryota; Viridiplantae; Streptophyta; Magnoliopsida; Poales; Poaceae.
ACGGUUGCUCAGUCCCUUUGCGUGGGCCGGAGAUGCCCUUAGCUCGCCGAACAACCCCCUCACACACCCCGCCGUUUGCCGCGCCGCUGGCUACCCACUCUGAUUCACAUGCGCGCGACCGCCGGGAUCCCCGCAUCAAAUCCUCAUCUUCGCCGCUGCUCCUGGACACCCCGCUGCUCGCCGCGCCGCUGGCUACCCACUCUGAUUCACAUGCGUGCGACCGACGAUCCCCGCAUCAAAUCCUCAUCUUCGCCGCAGACGGGCCGACGGCGGACGCUAGAGACCACAAGGUAUCCCAAGCAGAUUCCCCCGCCCCCAAGAGCUUCCCGUCGUUACUUCCAAGAGAUCCCCACAGCUGACUCCCCGCCGGCAGCCCGAUGUAAUAGGUGGGCUGCGGUGGUUAACCUCUCCCUCACCAGACUCCAUCCAGCCUAAAUGGCCUUCCGCGACAAGGUCCCUUGCAGAUUCUUCGCGGGCGCCGCCAUCCUCCCAUGGAGAUCGAGACGGGCCAUGUUCUCGGGGGAAGGGAUACGUGAAUGAGGACGGGGGAUCGACAGGGGAAUAUAGGACCAUGUCGGUGGCGGUCGCUCACGGCUAGGCGGAGAUGUGCGGCAUGGCUUGAGAGGCGGGCGGGCGGGACGUCGAUGGACAUUAGAGCACGCGCCGGAGCAGAAGCUAGCAGCGGCGGCGGCAGUGAAGCUUGCGUCAUUGCGUGUGUGGUGAGCAAAGGGAGGGGAUAAGUUUGGGCUGUUGGGUGCGUAGCUUGCUGGCCUGGCCCAUGGAUCAGUUCGGCUGGACCUAGCUUGGCAGAUGGGCCAAACGGGUAUGAGUACCCUAUGUGAUGGGCUAUACGAUAAAUGACAGCUGCGUGAAAUAAGACCUGCUUGGUAUCA